AGCUAGUUGGUAGGGUAAAGGCCUACCAAGGCGACGAUCUGUAGCUGGUCUGAGAGGACGAACAGCCACACUGGGACUGAGACACGGCCCAGACUCCUAUGGGAGGCAGCAGUGGGGAAUAUUGGACAAUGGGCGAAAGCCUGAUCCAGCAAUGCCGCGUGUGUGAAGAAGGCCUGCGGGUUGUAAAGCACUUUCAGUUGGGAAGAUGAUGACGUUACCAACAGAAGAAGCACCGGCUAACUCCGUGCCAGCAGCCGCGGUAAUACGGAGGGUGCAAGCGUUAAUCGGAAUUACUGGGCGUAAAGCGCGCGUAGGCGGCUAGGUCAGUCAGAUGUGAAAGCCCCGGGCUUAACCUGGGAACUGCAUUUGAUACUGCCUGGCUAGAGUGUGGUAGAGGGAAGUGGAAUUCCAGGUGUAGCGGUGAAAUGCGUAGAUAUCAGGAGGAACACCAGUGGCGAAGGCGACUUCCUGGACCAACACUGACGCUGAGGUGCGAAAGCGUGGGUAGCAAACAGGAUUAGAUACCCUGGUAGUCCACGCCGUAAACGAUGUCAACUAGCCGUCGGAUCCAUUUAAGGGUUUGGUGGCGCAGCCAACGCGAUAAGUUGACCGCCUGGGGAGUACGGCCGCAAGGUUAAAACUCAAAGGAAUUGACGGGGGCCCGCACAAGCGGUGGAGCAUGUGGUUUAAUUCGAUACAACGCGAAGAACCUUACCAGCCCUUGACAUCCUCGGAACUUUCCAGAAAUGGAUUGGUGCCUUCGGGAACCGAGUGACAGGUGCUGCAUGGCUGUCGUCAGCUCGUGUCGUGAGAUGUUGGGUUAAGUCCCGUAACGAGCGCAACCCUUGUCCUUAGUUGCCAGCACAUAAUGGUGGGAACUCUAAGGAGACUGCCGGUGACAAACCGGAGGAAGGUGGGGAUGACGUCAAGUCAUCAUGACCCUUAUGGGCUGGGCUACACACGUGCUACAAUGGCCGGUACAGUGGGCUGCAAACCCGCGAGGGGGAGCCAAUCUCACAAAACCGGUCGUAGUCCGGAUCGCAGUCUGCAACUCGACUGCGUGAAGUCGGAAUCGCUAGUAAUCGCAGAUCAGAAUGCUGCGGUGAAUACGUUCCCGGGCCUUGUACACACCGCCCGUCACACCAUGGGAGUGGGUUGCAAAAGAAGUGGGUAGCCUAACCUUCGGGAGGGCGCUCACCACUUUGUGAUUCAUGACUGGGGUGAAGUCGUAACAAGGUAGCCGUAGGGGAACCUGCGGCUG
Molecule: ribosomal RNA, 1261 nt
Filed under: metagenome
Description: bacterial SSU rRNA
Rfam family: Bacterial small subunit ribosomal RNA
Source: RNAcentral